RNAcentral lists this transfer RNA (76 nucleotides) under Cordylochernes scorpioides. RNAcentral describes it as "tRNA-Thr". Lineage: Eukaryota; Metazoa; Arthropoda; Arachnida; Pseudoscorpiones; Chernetidae. The record is from RNAcentral.
AUGUCAAGGGAUGGGAAUCGAACCCAACGACCUUCCGCUUACCGGGCAGAUGCCAUGACCACUAGGCCACAUGACC